ACAUCGCCUUUUGCUUAAAAUAAAAGGUCCAGCCUGCCCAGUGACACUGUUCAACGGCCGCGGUAUCCUAACCGUGCGAAGGUAGCGUAAUCACUUGUUCUUUAAAUGAGGACUAGUAUGAAAGGCACCACGAGAGUCAUACUGUCUCCUCUUUCCAAUCAGUUAAACUAAUCUCCCCGUGAAGAAGCGGGGAUAACUAUAUAAGACGAGAAGACCCUAUGGAGCUUUAAACGAAUAACACUUGCCCACUUACUCCUUUAAAUUUCAGAAAAAUCUAUUACCUUGGCAUCAUACUUAUAAGUUUUUGAUUGGGGUGAUCACGGAACAAAAAAUAACCUCCGCAAUGAAAGACUCUCCAUAACUAAGUCAAGAACCACAACUCUACGCAUCAACAAAUUGACACCAAUUGACCCAAUUUAUUGAUCAAUGAACCAAGUUACCCUAGGGAUAACAGCGCAAUCCACUUCAAGAGCUCCUAUCGACAAGUGGGUUUACGACCUCGAUGUUGGAUCAGGGUAUCCUAAUGGUGCAGCCGCUAUUAAAGGUUCGUUUGUUCAACGAUUAAAACCCUACGUGAUCU
This 580-nucleotide ribosomal RNA is filed under the name Adenomera andreae (lowland tropical bullfrog). RNAcentral's name for it is "partial large subunit ribosomal RNA". It matches the Rfam family "Bacterial large subunit ribosomal RNA", at positions 1813 to 2606 of the family's 2925-position model. The record is from RNAcentral. Lineage: Eukaryota; Metazoa; Chordata; Amphibia; Anura; Leptodactylidae.